UACCAGCACCCCGAGUGGUCGGGACGUUUAUUGGGCCUAAAGCAUCCGUAGCCGGUUCUACAAGUCUUCCGUUAAAUCCACCUGCUUAACAGAUGGGCUGCGGAAGAUACUAUGGAGCUAGGAGGCGGGAGAGGCAAGCGGUACUCGAUGGGUAGGGGUAAAAUCCGUUGAUCCAUUGAAGACCACCAGUGGCGAAGGCGGGUCUCUGGACAGUUCCUGACGCCGAGGCACGAAGGUCAGGGGAGCAAACGGG
Molecule: ribosomal RNA, 253 nt
Filed under: uncultured bacterium
Lineage: Bacteria
Description: partial 16S ribosomal RNA
Rfam family: Archaeal small subunit ribosomal RNA
Source: RNAcentral